UACGGGAGGCAGCAGUGGGGAAUAUUACACAAUGGGCGCAAGCCUGAUGCAGCCAUGCCGCGUGUAUGAAGAAGGCCUUCGGGUUGUAAAGUACUUUCAGUCGUGAGGAAGGUGUUAAGGUUAAUAACCUUAGCAAUUGACGUUAGCGACAGAAGAAGCACCGGCUAACUCCGUGCCAGCAGCCGCGGUAAUACGGAGGGUGCGAGCGUUAAUCGGAAUUACUGGGCGUAAAGGGCACGCAGGCGGUUAAUUAAGUUGGAUGUGAAAUCCCCGGGCUUAACCUGGGAAUGGCAUUCAAGACUGGUUAGCUAGAGUCUUGUAGAGGGGGGUAGAAUUCCAUGUGUAGCGGUGAAAUGCGUAGAGAUGUGGAGGAAUACCGGUGGCGAAGGCGGCCCCUGGACAAAGACUGACGCUCAUGUGCGAAAGCGUGGGGAGCAAACAGGGAUUAGAUACC
Molecule: ribosomal RNA, 454 nt
Filed under: uncultured bacterium
Lineage: Bacteria
Description: bacterial SSU rRNA
Rfam family: Bacterial small subunit ribosomal RNA
Source: RNAcentral